Molecule: unclassified non-coding RNA, 143 nt
Filed under: soil metagenome
Description: partial internal transcribed spacer 1
Source: RNAcentral
CAAGAAACGAGGCUACGUGCCCCGCUCUUUACCCUUGCCUACUUGCACUAUCUGUUGCUUCCUGGCGGCGGUUUGCCUGCCCGCCAGGGACAUUGUAAAGCCCUGUAUAAGCAUUAAAAAAACUGAAACAAAACCGAAUCGUA